RNAcentral lists this transfer RNA (90 nucleotides) under Chloroflexota bacterium. RNAcentral's name for it is "Chloroflexi bacterium (marine metagenome) tRNA-Ser". It matches the Rfam family "tRNA". Rfam says of the family: Transfer RNA (tRNA) molecules are approximately 80 nucleotides in length. Their secondary structure includes four short double-helical elements and three loops (D, anti-codon, and T loops). The record is from RNAcentral. Lineage: Bacteria; Bacillati; Chloroflexota. RNAcentral also lists the same sequence under 1 other name.
GGAGAGAUGGCUGAGUGGACGAAAGCGACGGUCUUGAAAACCGUUGUGGCGGCAACGUCACCGUGGGUUCGAAUCCCACUCUCUCCGCCA